Molecule: long non-coding RNA, 2030 nt
Organism: Hemicordylus capensis (graceful crag lizard)
Lineage: Eukaryota; Metazoa; Chordata; Lepidosauria; Squamata; Cordylidae
Exons: 2
Source: RefSeq, a predicted model, not a curated record
GAGAGCACCAGAACCAGGAGAAGACUGAUCCAUCCGUUGUACAUUGAGAGUAAGAUUUGCCUUUGAAGAUGAAAGGAAAGCUACAUGGCUCUUUCGGAUUUGCGUCUGGAAUGGUUAGGGAGAAGUGAGAAAGUGGGAGCUGUACCGACUGAAAAGAAUCCAGCACAACAGGACCAGACGGUACCCAAGGCACAUGUGCUGGAACUGCCACAAACCUGUUGUCCAAAUUUGCUUUGAUGUGAGUGACUUCAUCUGCAACUGUGGCAUGCAAACUGGUCACAGCAGGCAAUAGAUGGUUCAUUCCCCAUUACACAUGGGGAUGUGUGAAGCAAUAACUUUACUACACGAUAAAGCUCUGCUGGCCUGCACUGAGCAGAUGAAAUUGAUACGGAAAAAAUAUUUUUCUUCACUUCUGCCCACCACCACCACCACCACGGAGUAGUCCCGAAAAUUGGUUCUAGCCCGUGUUUGAUAGGAUUUGUCAUGAGUCUUCCACCAGUGUCGUUCCAGCCGUUGUCCGAGUUGUUUCAUUGCCCUAAGCUCUUCAGAAAAUCAAGGAGCAGAACGGGCUCCACCAAGCCAGAGAGGGUGUUUAGGAGCAGCUGUGUCAGUAGCCUGGACUGUCUCCACGUUCUAGAGAUUCACCAGGGCCUCUCCAGAGUCACCAGCUCUGGACACUGGAAACUUCCCAAGGGCUGUCUGGAAACUGAACAGAUCCAUAAGCCUCCGGGGUGGACCAUUCUAAUUGGUCCAGCACCCCUGCAGAGGAUAGACAAAGCAGUCAAACUAAACCCCACCAGAUAAUGAUCUGUCCAUGGCAAGAGAGAUAUUUCCAACUCCCCCACCUCCAGAUCAUUUAUUCCUUGAAUCAAAACCAGAUCCAAAGUAUGCUCUGCCAUGUGGGUCAGGCCCAAUACCAAUUGAGAUAGGCCCAUGGUUGCCAUGGAGGCCAUGAAGUUCUGAGUGGUCCCUACUAAGGGGGCCUCAGCAUGGACAUUGAAGUCCCCCAAGACCAUAGAUUUGGGGGAAACCCAAUGCUAACUUCGAGACCUCCCCUGCCAGCUCAGGUAGAGAGACUGAAGUGCAGUGCAGAGGAGUGUUCGGUGCAUCAACAGAAUCCCCAGCCUAUCUCGGAGGCCCACCCUCAAGGACAAAGACUUGAAACCUGGAGAUUGCUUAACUGGGCACCUGAAAAGGGAAAAGGUCUCAUGAUCAAUGACUGCUAAGCCCCCUCUCCAACCCUCUGCUGCAAGAUGAGGAAGCCUGGAGGACAAAGCUGAGAGAGACCAAUCCCACCCAGCCCAUGCAACCAGGUCUCCAUCACACAUAGCAAGUGUGCUUAUGCACAAUCAAAUCAUGGAUGAGAGAUGUUUUACCAUUUACUGACCUGGCAUUCAUUAGCAGCACUUGGCCGGUCAUGCAUCUCUCAGCCUAACCUACCUCACAGGGUUGUUGUUAGGAUAAACAUAACUAUGUACCAUGUCUGGGCUCUUUGGAGGAAGAAUGGGAUACAAAUGUAAUUAAUUAAUUAAUUAAUUAAUUAAUUAAUUAAUUAAUUAAUUAAUAUCUCCCUCUGCCUGAUGGGCCAGAGUACAGCCAUUUUGCCCCUUUUGUAUGUGAAGUCACUAAGCUAGAGUGCUUACAUAGCUGUCAGCUAAGCCUGCAUAGCUUCUAGCUUGCCAAUUAACCAUUAGGUGUAUGAAUCACCUCUGUUCCCAUGAGAAAGAAGGAAGAAAAUGGUAAUCUGCUCCUUGUUCUGUAAAUGCAAGAGAUAACAGUAUGCGGGAACAGGUUAUGCUAAAAGCUCGGAGGGAUAGUGUAUCCUGAAGAAUGUUUGCCUACAUUUAUCUAAGUGCUUCAAGACUAGCAGAAAGGGAGGGGUACUAACAGAAUAAGAUGAAGCUGAAACUUUGUGUAGCUUCUCCUAUAUAACACUGAUGCUGAAUUUUCUGGGUGUGCUUUUUGCUUUGGAAAUCAUUCCCUUUAGCACCAUUUAUUCUGCAGAAUAAAAGCUGAUUUCUAGAUCUCCA